GUCCCGCCGAAACGAACCCGGCUGGACACCCACUUGGUUCUUCGGCGUCCGAGGUCUGUGUGACGGUGUGGACUCACCGUGCGUGAGAGCUUCCACGUGGCAGGAGACAAAGGUCUGACCCCAGGCUCUUGAAAAGCCGCCCUCCUGUGAGUGAGCUCCGAUGGGACGCAGCCCUUCCCACGGCCCCCAGGACACAGCCAGGCCAUCGCGCUUCGAGGAGCAGCCAGCCUGAGCCCUCAACCCUGCCCCGUCCCGCCCCGCUGACCGGUUGCCCUGCCCCGAGUUUCCGGGGUCAGAUCCCUGCACAGGCUGGAGAGGACUUUUGUUUUAUUGAGAUGGAAUUCACACGUGAUGGACGGAUCGAGUUUAAAGUGCGCAGUCCAGCGGCAUUUAGCACGGUCACGGUGCGGCACAGCUAAGCACCUCUUUACCCGGUUCCGAAACCUCUUCAUCCACCCCAGGAGGAGCCCCGGCCCCGAGCCCGAGCCCCAGCCGCCGCCAACCUGCCUCUUGCCUC
Molecule: long non-coding RNA, 517 nt
Organism: Leopardus geoffroyi (Geoffroy's cat)
Lineage: Eukaryota; Metazoa; Chordata; Mammalia; Carnivora; Felidae
Exons: 3
Source: RefSeq, a predicted model, not a curated record